UCAACUUGCGAUAGAAAGGAAAGAAAGAAGGAGAUCGACGAAAAAGAAGAAGAGGAGGGAGAGUAAGGAUGCUGUUGUCCGUGGCAGGUGGAGAAGGAGGCUCGUUCGAGGCGCGGUGGCGAUGGCUGGUGGAAGAGCAGAGGCCGACGAGUACAACAGCAACGAUGGCGGCAGUGAACGGCAAAAAAGAAAAACAGAGAAGAGGCAGCAGCUGUUCGACGCCGUACAUGGCGGUAAUGGCAGCUGAGUUGGGUGGCGAUCAACUCAUCUAGGCAUGGGCUUUCCGUUUGGGGGCAGCAGCAGCGUUGAAGGCGGUCGGAGAAAGAAAAUCUGACGAGGUGAAUAGUAUAGUGGCAGUUGGGUUUUUCUUGAUUCUUGGCGAGUUCCGGCAAGGUAUAGUUGAUCAGAGUUCAUGGGUGAACUCCCCUCAGCUCAAGCUUUCCAAUGGCACUAAUUUUGCAGCGAUCGAACUCCGUUUGAAAAUCGACGGUCGAUACUGUCUGUGAAUUUCUCCGGAUGACAGGAGCUGGAUCAGAGAAUCGAGUGCUAGAAUCAUCGUCUGCAUGUUGUGCCGAGUCCGUAGGCGCGCUCGGAUCGUCAAUCAGACUCCGGCGGCUGAAGGCGAGUCGACCGAUUAUCAAGCGUCUUGGUAAUUCUCAGCACAAAAUAUUGUACCAUAGGACCAUAUUUUUUGGAUAAGAAAUAUCAUGCACUCUUAUUAGUAAAUAGAAAGAAAAAAAUUAGCCAAAUGCAUGUUUGGACAUCUA
This 767-nucleotide long non-coding RNA is filed under the name Ricinus communis (castor bean). RNAcentral's name for it is "long non-coding RNA (RCOM_LNC001239)". Lineage: Eukaryota; Viridiplantae; Streptophyta; Magnoliopsida; Malpighiales; Euphorbiaceae. The record is from RNAcentral.